RNAcentral lists this ribosomal RNA (446 nucleotides) under Echinocardium sp. EflavH1. RNAcentral's name for it is "partial 16S ribosomal RNA". It matches the Rfam family "Bacterial large subunit ribosomal RNA", at positions 1830 to 2462 of the family's 2925-position model. Lineage: Eukaryota; Metazoa; Echinodermata; Echinoidea; Spatangoida; Loveniidae. The record is from RNAcentral.
CUUGACAUAAUAAACAUAGGGGGUCCUGCCUGCCCAGUGACUGAAAAGUUAAACGGCCGCGGUAUCUUGACCGUGCGAAGGUAGCAUAAUCAUUUGUCUCCUAAAUAGAGACUGGUAUGAAUGGCAAGACGGAGCUCCACUGUCUCCUCCUCUUUAAUCUGAACUUCACAUUCCCGUGAAGAGGCGGGAAUUAGUUCGUAAGACGAGAAGACCCUGUCGAGCUGUAGUUAAACUUUAAUUGUUACUCACCCUUAGGCCUAACUAAUAAUAUUAAAAAUAGUAGACCUUAAGGUAUAGCAAGUUAAAACAAGCUUUGAUUGGGGCAAUCCCGGAGAAAGAAAAUCCUCCGUUACUAUAUGGUUAUAUUUAAUCUAAAAUAAAAGAAUUAUUAUUCUUAAAGCAUAAAAAUGAAGACGUGAUCCACUUACAGUGAUCAAAAGAACAAG